Long non-coding RNA from Mus musculus (house mouse), 381 nucleotides. RefSeq annotates it as predicted gene, 52820. The transcript has 2 exons. The record is from RefSeq and is a predicted model, not a curated record. NCBI's taxonomy places the organism in Eukaryota, Metazoa, Chordata, Mammalia, Rodentia, Muridae.
CUUCAUGCUAAUGCCAUGUGACCUCACAGUGUGCCACGUGACCUCAUAGCCAUCCCUUCCUGUUAACGCCACGUGACUUCACAGCCACCACAGCCAUUUGGUUGCUAGGAAGAUGAUGCCCAGAGAGCCUCAUUAAAACUUUCCUGACAAUAGCUCUAUGGCCCAUGUUUUCUUUUCCUUCCCUGUGAAGUUCCCCAACUUGCUUCAGAAUGGAGACCUUCAAGUACCCUGCAGAAGCUUUCUAGAAAACGGAAUUCGUUUGAAGUUUAUCUAGCUCCCUCCAGUCUGUUGACCUCCUGGUAUCCUUUUUAAUGUGAGGUGUUUGAACGUAGCCGCCUUCAUCCAUGAAACCAAAGGAUAAAUAUUUUAUUCUAAAGUAAA